This 312-nucleotide long non-coding RNA is filed under the name Elaeis guineensis (African oil palm). RNAcentral describes it as "long non-coding RNA (EGUI_LNC075736)". Lineage: Eukaryota; Viridiplantae; Streptophyta; Magnoliopsida; Arecales; Arecaceae. The record is from RNAcentral.
CAAAUCAAAUAAUUUAGCAACUAUUGUAAUUUGAAAGAGUCCUAGUCCAGUGGGACUCUAUGACCCAGUCUAGUGGGAUUUUAUUUGAGCUAUGGAGUUUGAAGGUGAGCUAUGAACUGAAGAGAGAAGAUGAUUCUAAUUAGAUAUUUGUACGUAAUCACUAUUUAUUUUAAGAAUUUUAAGAAAUAAAUAAAAAUUCUCACUAUUUUCUUCGAAUCCUAACACUUCUCAGGUUAAGAAAUGAAAAUCCAUACGUGAGUUAAGAUUCCUAGUGGAUACUGCGGUCUCACCGAUUGACUAGGGGUGCCAAUC